RNAcentral lists this ribosomal RNA (3189 nucleotides) under Nakaseomyces delphensis. RNAcentral describes it as "21S ribosomal RNA". The stretch from base 193 to 2926 matches the Rfam family "Bacterial large subunit ribosomal RNA". Lineage: Eukaryota; Fungi; Ascomycota; Saccharomycetes; Saccharomycetales; Saccharomycetaceae. The record is from RNAcentral.
AAUUAAAAUAAUAGAUUUGAAAUAUUUAUUAUAUAGAUUUAAAGAGAUAAUCAUGGAAUACAUAUAUUUUAUAUAAUUUUAUUUAUAAAAAGAAUAAUAAUAAAUAUAAAAUAAUACUAUUAAUAGUUAUUAGGUUACUAAUAAAUUAUAUAUAUUUAACCCCGGAACAAAAACAUCUUUAGGGAUGUUUUUGUUCCGGGGAAUAUAUAUCUAAUUUUAAUACCUAAAGAGAAAUCUUUAUAUAUAAUAAUAUAUAUAUAUUUAUAUAUAUAUAUUAUUAAUAUAUUAUAAUAUAUACUAAGUGAAUUGAAACAUCUUAUUAACUUAAGGAAUAUAAAUCAACAGAGAUAUUAUGAGUAUUGGUGAGAGAAAAUAAUAUAGUCUUAUUAAGUAUUAUAUAUUAAUUAAUAUGUAAGAAUAAUAAUAAAGGAUUAACAAAUUCUAAGACUAAAUACUAUUAAUAAGUUUAAAAAGUACCGUGAGGGAAAGUAUGUAAAUGGUUAUUUUAUAAGCAAUUAUAGAUAUUAUAUAUUAAUAUCAAUAAUGUACCUUUUGUAUAAUGGGUCAGCAAGUAAUUAAUAUUAGCAAAAAUAAAUAAUAAUUUAUAUUUAAAUAGAUAUUUUAUAAUAAUAUAUAUAUAAUAAUAUAUUAAUAGUUAAUAUUAAUUGACCCGAAAGCAUAAGAUCUUACCAUGACAAGAUGAAUUAAAACGAUCGAACAGGUUAAUGUUGCAAAAUUAUCUGAUUAGUUGUGGUAAGUUAUGAAAGAUAAAUCUGAUAUGCAGAUAGCUGGUUUUCUAUGAAAUAUAUGUUAGUAUAGCCUUCUUAAAUUCUUAAUUAAUAAAUUAAUAUUUAAUAUUGAUUUAUAGUAUGGUAUAGCAAUUAAUAUAAAUAUUAUAUAUCAUUUAUAUGAUAUAUAAUAGUAUUGGGAAAUUAUUAUAAUUUUAUCAAUAAUAUUUAAUCUCAAAAUAUUUAAUUAUAUGUAUAAUAUUUAAAUAUAUUAUAUAUUACUAAGAAGAGUCAGAUUAUAUGCGAUAAGGUAAAUAAUCUAAAGGGAAACAGCCCAGAUUAAUAUAUAAAGUUCCUAAUUUUUUAUAAAUGUAUAAUUCUAAAAUACAUUAAAUUUAAUAGUAUUAUUAAAUAAUAAUAAGUGAAAAUAAUAUUAAAAUAUUAUAAAUUAAUCAGUUAAUGGGUUUGACAAUAACCAUUUUUUAAUGAACAUGUAACAAUGCACUGAUCAUAAAUAAAUAUAAAUAAUAUUUCAAACAUAUAUAUAUUAACCCCCGGAACAAAAACAUCUUUAGGGAUGUUUUUGUUCCGGGGUAUAUAUGAUAAUAAACAAUAUACGGAUCUUAUAAAAUAUAAAAUUAUUAAACUGAAUAUUUAAAUAUAUUAUAAUAAUAUUAUUAUUAUAAUAUAUGGUAAUAGAACAUCUAAUGAUAAAGUAUAUUAAUUAAAUAUUAAUAUAUAUAAAUAAUUAGAUAGAGAAUGCUGACAUGAGUAACGAUAAAAAGGUUUAAACCUUUUCACCUAAAACAUAAGGUUUUACUAUAAAAGUACGGCUUCUAAUAUAAAUAUGAAUAUAAAUAUAUUAUAGAUGAAUAAAUACUAAUUUAUAUUAACCCCCAAAACAAAAACAUCUUUAAUGAUGUUUUGGGGAAAAUAUCUUUAUUUAAUUAUAAUAUUAUAAUUAUAUUAUAAUAAAUAUAUAGAGAUCAGGAAAUAUAAUAUAAUUAAAUACCGUAAUGUAGACCGACUCAGGUAUGUUAGUAGAGAAUAUGAAGGUGUAUUAGAUAAUUAAGGAUAAGGAACUCGGCAAAAAUAGUUCUAACGUUAGUCAAUAAAGAAAUAUUAAAAACAAGGUUGUACAACUGUUUACUAAAAACACCGCACUUUGCGAAAACAUUAAGUUAUAGUAUAAGGUGUGAACUCUGCUCAAUGCUUAAUAUAUAAAUUAUAUAUUUAUUAAUUAUAGAAUAUAUAAAUAAAUUUAAGUAAAUAGCAGCCUUAUUAUGAGGGUUAUAAUGUAGCGAAAUUCCUUGGCUGAUAAUUACAGUCCCGCAUGAAUGACGUAAUGAUACAACAACUGUCUCAUCCUUAAUCUAAGUGAAAUUGAAUUUGCAGUGAAGAUGCUGUAUAUUUAUAGUUAGACAAGAAGACCCUAUGCAGCUUUACUAUAAUUAGAUAGAUCGAAUUAUUAUUAAUUAUAUUCAGAUAUAUUAAGUAAUAUAAUUAUUAUUAAUCGUUUAGAUAUAAAUGAGAUACUUAUUAUAAUUAUAUAAUAAUUCUAAUCUUUAAUAAUAAUAUAUUUAAUAGAUAUUAUUCUUAAAUAUAGAUUAUAUAUAUAUUUAAUAUAUAUAUAUAUAAUAUAAAGAGACAAUCUCUAAUUGGUAGUUUUGAUGGGGCGUCAUUUUCAGCAAAAGUAUCUGAAUAAGUCCAUAUAUAAUUUAUAAUAUUAUUUAAAAAUAAUAUAAAAUAUAUAUUAAAUAUAUUAAUUAUAAACUAAUAUUAUAUUUUUAUAAUAUAAUAUUAAUAAUAGAAAAAUUAAGUAUAGUAAAAUUGUCUGGAAAACAAUAAUAUUUAUAUAUUUAUUUUUUAUAAAUAUUAAAUUAAUAUAAUAGUAUAACUAUGCAAAGAUUAUAACACAAACAAGUGAAAUAAGUACGUAAGUAUGGUAUAAUGAACAAAUAAUACUGAUUGUAAAGGUUAUUGAUAACGAAUAAAAGUUACGCUAGGGAUAACAGGGUAAUAUAACGAAAGAGUAGAAAUUGUAAGUUAUGUUUGCCACCUCGAUGUCGACUCUACCUAUCCUCUUGGUUGCAAAAGCUAAGAAGGGUUUGACUGUUCGUCAAUUAAAAGGUAACGUGAGUUGGGUUAAAUACGACGUAUUAUCUAAUUAAAUCUCAUUAUUAGUACGCAAGGAUCAUAAUGAAUUAACCUAUGGUGUAUCUAUUAAUUAUCUUAAUAUUUUUAUUAAUUUAUUUAAUAAAAAUAUUCUAUAUAUAUUUAUAUAUUAUAGAUAGUUAUUGUAGAGAAGCUAAGUUAAUAAAUAAUAAAUAUUGAAUACAUAUAAAAUAUGAAGUAGUUUUAAUAAGAUAAUACACUAAUAAUUUUAUACUAAAAUUAUAUAUAGGUUUUAUAUAUAUUUAUAUAUAAAAUACUAAUUUAUUAGUUAUCUAUAUAAUAUCUA